CUGCGGCAGCGACACUGUGUGUUGUUGGGUAGGGGAGCGUUCUGUAAGCCUGUGAAGGUGGCCUGUGAGGGUUGCUGGAGGUAUCAGAAGUGCGAAUGCUGACAUAAGUAACGAUAAAGCGGGUGAAAAGCCCGCUCGCCGGAAGACCAAGGGUUCCUGUCCAACGUUAAUCGGGGCAGGGUGAGUCGACCCCUAAGGCGAGGCCGAAAGGCGUAGUCGAUGGGAAACGGGUUAAUAUUCCCGUACUUGGUGUUACUGCGAAGGGGGGACGGAGAAGGCUAUGUUGGCCGGGCGACGGUUGUCCCGGUUUAAGCGUGUAGGUGUGUGUUCCAGGUAAAUCCGGUUCACUUUAACACUGAGGCGUGACGACGAGGCACUACGGUGCUGAAGCAACAAAUGCCCUGCUUCCAGGAAAAGCCUCUAAGCAUCAGGUAACAUCAAAUCGUACCCCAAACCGACACAGGUGGUCAGGUAGAGAAUACCAAGGCGCUUGAGAGAACUCGGGUGAAGGAACUAGGCAAAAUGGUGCCGUAACUUCGGGAGAAGGCACGCUGACACGUAGGUGAAGUGAUUUACUCACGGAGCUGAAGUCAGUCGAAGAUACCAGCUGGCUGCAACUGUUUAUUAAAAACACAGCACUGUGCAAACACGAAAGUGGACGUAUACGGUGUGACGCCUGCCCGGUGCCGGAAGGUUAAUUGAUGGGGUCAGCGCAAGCGAAGCUCCUGAUCGAAGCCCCGGUAAACGGCGGCCGUAACUAUAACGGUCCUAAGGUAGCGAAAUUCCUUGUCGGGUAAGUUCCGACCUGCACGAAUGGCGUAAUGAUGGCCAGGCUGUCUCCACCCGAGACUCAGUGAAAUUGAACUCGCUGUGAAGAUGCAGUGUACCCGCGGCAAGACGGAAAGACCCCGUGAACCUUUACUAUAGCUUGACACUGAACAUUGAGCCUUGAUGUGUAGGAUAGGUGGGAGGCUUUGAAGCGUGGACGCCAGUCUGCGUGGAGCCGACCUUGAAAUACCACCCUUUAAUGUUUGAUGUUCUAACGUGGACCCGUGAUCCGGGUUGCGGACAGUGUCUGGUGGGUAGUUUGACUGGGGCGGUCUCCUCCUAAAGAGUAACGGAGGAGCACGAAGGUUGGCUAAUCCUGGUCGGACAUCAGGAGGUUAGUGCAAUGGCAUAAGCCAGCUUGACUGCGAGCGUGACGGCGCGAGCAGGUGCGAAAGCAGGUCAUAGUGAUCCGGUGGUUCUGAAUGGAAGGGCCAUCGCUCAACGGAUAAAAGGUACUCCGGGGAUAACAGGCUGAUACCGCCCAAGAGUUCAUAUCGACGGCGGUGUUUGGCACCUCGAUGUCGGCUCAUCACAUCCUGGGGCUGAAGUAGGUCCCAAGGGUAUGGCUGUUCGCCAUUUAAAGUGGUACGCGAGCUGGGUUUAGAACGUCGUGAGACAGUUCGGUCCCUAUCUGCCGUGGGCGCUGGAGAACUGAGGGGGGCUGCUCCUAGUACGAGAGGACCGGAGUGGACGCAUCACUGGUGUUCGGGUUGUCAUGCCAAUGGCACUGCCCGGUAGCUAAAUGCGGAAGAGAUAAGUGCUGAAAGCAUCUAAGCACGAAACUUGCCCCGAG
This 1621-nucleotide ribosomal RNA is filed under the name Salmonella enterica. RNAcentral describes it as "partial 23S ribosomal RNA". It matches the Rfam family "Bacterial large subunit ribosomal RNA", at positions 1200 to 2803 of the family's 2925-position model. The record is from RNAcentral. Lineage: Bacteria; Pseudomonadati; Pseudomonadota; Gammaproteobacteria; Enterobacterales; Enterobacteriaceae.